AGAGUAUGCAUGCAUAAAAGAGGGUACUCACUGCAGCGAGCAGACAGAAGUUCCAUGAUUUGGAGGAGAAGCUAUAAGAAAGGAAGGAUCCACAAUACCCCCAGAGCACUCUGACCUAAGCCCAAAGAAUGCUCCAGAGUGGUGAGGAAACUGAGGGCUGUAAGCCUAAAAAGGAAACACUUAGAUCAAAGUAUUUAAGGACAGAAGACUUAUUUUACUACUGCCGGACUGAUCAGAGGCAUGACCUGGAAGUUAUGAGGAAAUUAGAGGAACUGCACCUUUAGUCUGCGUUCGUUGGCAGUGUGGAUAUCCUCAUCGCUUUUGUUCACCACAAAGGCUCCCCUGGACCAUUCUUCAGAAAUCUACAUCAGCAAAAGACACCAGGCAGUGGUUAAUGACCCUUCUUUAUUGCACAAGGGUGUUGGAGGCUUGAUUUCAAUCAGGAACAGAGACACUAAAAUGGGAGAGCUCCACCAGGCAACUGUUUGGAGUCAUGGAGCAGCCUAAGCACAACGUGGGUUAGAGUGCGUACAACUGAAUGGAAAGCAGAGAUAAGCCAAGGGUCAGGACAGAUGCUGGACCCCCAACUUCAUAAUCAAAGACACCAUCCCUAUUCAGGGAAGCACAUAAUGUACCUACUUUUAAAUAAUGGGACUUAAACAUGGGCUUAAAUGUUUUCUUGAAUCAGGACUAAGGAAGAUUACAAUGCAGACUACCUGAAAAGAGGAAGAUCAACAGCCAAGUAGCAGUGCUUAAAGCUUCAAGUCAGGCUGGUACCUGUGGCAAUGACUGACAGCCUUUUACCACAUUCUGUGCUCAAGCAAAUGCAUACCUUUUCUAAUCCACGCAGAAUCUUCUCCAAAUCACCCUUGGUUAGAAUCCCAGACUUCUCCAGAGCCUUGGCAUAAGCCAUGCUUCCUCGGAUGUCAACUUCCGACAACCGCUGGUCAGAAGCCAUGGAAGAGUUGAGAGUCUCCAUGAUGGGAUCAGUGCCUCCUAUGAAUCUUCCUCCCCAAAGUUUAUCCCCCUGUGGAAAAGGAAGUUUAAAAAAGAUGGAGCUUAAAAGGACAUACUGGUAAAUCUGAAAGAACCUUCAAACACACACUCUUUGGGAUGAGUAUUAAUUCUGUGGGACAGCACCCCAGAAUCUACCAGAAUAGAAGGAACAAAUUGAGACCUGGUGCAGACCAUGAAUCACAGCCACCUUCUCUGGCAGAGGACUGGAUAGGUUAAUCAGUGCCACUAUUUCAUCAGCUAGCGGGGUCAUUGUUAAGUAAGUCUUUCCCCAAGGACUGUUUCCACAUAUCUACCAACCCCUGAUGAACACAGAUUGUUCAUGGGGCCUAUCUUACAGUCCCUAUAGGGACAAUAUACUUAGUGAAAUCCUGAGGCGUUUUGCUCCCAGGACUGUAGAAUUAGGGCCUAUAGUUGGAGAUUUAAAAAAAAUUAUUUUCAUGGCAGCUUUGUCGAUACAGCCAUUUUUAAUUCUAAAUUUUGUCAGUCUAAUUCUGCACGGCCUCAGCUUCACUACACCUACAUGUUGCCAUCAUAUUGAUUUCCUCUACUGUUUCAAGUGAAUGACAUUUUGCCUGUCAAACCAAUAAAAUUACCCAGCCUGACCUCUGCAAAGCUUUAGGUGUGAUUUUUUUCCUCAUCAAUUCUGUACUAAGGACAAGUGAUGGGGGCUGAAAUUUGGAGAGUGACACCAGAACAUAGCAGCAUUUGGACUGGGGAAUGGGCAAAGACAUAUCUAUGUGAUUCAUUUCAGGUUCUCCCUCUAUUAAUUCAGGCAUAAGCAGACAAUUGAGGUAACUAAACCUUUAGUGCAAGUGAUUUAAAAAAAAAAUUGAGCUGUGAACAUGCAAACAGUUUCUCAUCUUUUAGAGGUCACAGAAUUUCAUAAUAUAUUUUGUACAGGAUUCUCCCCAGUCCCAAUUGGCUACCUUUGGCCCAACAAUGGAAAUAGCCAGGCUAGCAAAUUUUGACAGGUGCAGGCCGCUUAUUAGAAUAUCGAUAGCACCUGUGUGCAAUAGCAGGUAAGGCCAAGACGACGGCGAGAGCAAUUUCUGAAACUGGAAAGCAGGAGCUGCUAUGGGAGCGGGUCCGAUUUUGCUAACGGGGGCAACUGCCGCCACGCAGCAUUUGUCUAGAGAAGCGGCUCGGGCCAGCAACUCUACAAGUGGGCGUCCAAAGACUGACAUCCACCUGCAAAAGUUGC
This is a long non-coding RNA of Dermochelys coriacea (leatherback sea turtle), 2218 nucleotides long. RefSeq lists it as uncharacterized. The record is from RefSeq and is a predicted model, not a curated record. NCBI's taxonomy places the organism in Eukaryota, Metazoa, Chordata, Testudines, Dermochelyidae. The transcript has 4 exons.